Molecule: ribosomal RNA, 197 nt
Filed under: Alexandrium margalefii
Lineage: Eukaryota; Dinophyceae; Gonyaulacales; Pyrocystaceae
Description: partial Bacterial large subunit ribosomal RNA
Rfam family: Bacterial large subunit ribosomal RNA
Source: RNAcentral
AUAGACCGUACCCGAAACCGACACAGGUGGUCAGGUAGAGUAUACCAAGGCGCUUGAGUGAAGUAUCCUGAAGGAACUCGGCAAAUUGCCUCCGUACCUUCGGAAGAAGGAGGCCCUGAAUUGAGGCAACUCUUUUCAGGGGGCACAGGCCAGGGGGUAGCGACUGUUUAUCAAAAACACAGGACUCUGCUAAGUCG